RNAcentral lists this ribosomal RNA (86 nucleotides) under Xenorhabdus thuongxuanensis. Lineage: Bacteria; Pseudomonadati; Pseudomonadota; Gammaproteobacteria; Enterobacterales; Morganellaceae. The record is from RNAcentral.
CCUGACCCCAUGCCGAACUCAGCAGUGAAACGCCGUAGCGCCGAUGGUAGUGUGGGGUCUCCCCAUGUGAGAGUAGGGAACUGCCA